This 412-nucleotide ribosomal RNA is filed under the name uncultured bacterium. Its description in RNAcentral is "bacterial SSU rRNA". It matches the Rfam family "Bacterial small subunit ribosomal RNA", at positions 505 to 916 of the family's 1533-position model. The record is from RNAcentral.
GUGCCAGCAGCCGCGGUAAUACGAAGGGGGCUAGCGUUGCUCGGAAUGACUGGGCGUAAAGGGCGCGUAGGCUGUCUGUACAGUCAGAUGUGAAAUCCCCGGGCUUAACCUGGGAACUGCAUUUGAUACGUGCAGACUAGAGUCCGAGAGAGGGUUGUGGAAUUCCCAGUGUAGAGGUGAAAUUCGUAGAUAUUGGGAAGAACACCGGUUGCGAAGGCGGCAACCUGGCUCGGAACUGACGCUGAGGCGCGAAAGCGUGGGGAGCGAACAGGAUUAGAUACCCUGGUAGUCCACGCUGUAAACGAUGUGUGCUGGAUGUUGGGUGAUUUUAUCAUUCAGUGUCGGAGCUAACGCGUUAAGCACACCGCCUGGGGAGUACGGCCGCAAGGUUGAAACUCAAAGGAAUUGACGG